GACGAACGCUGGCGGCGUGCUUAACACAUGCAAGUCGAACGGAAAGGCCCUGCUUUUGUGGGGUGCUCGAGUGGCGAACGGGUGAGUAACACGUGAGUAACCUGCCCUUGACUUUGGGAUAACUUCAGGAAACUGGGGCUAAUACCGGAUAGGAGCUCCUGCUGCAUGGUGGGGGUUGGAAAGUUUCGGCGGUUGGGGAUGGACUCGCGGCUUAUCAGCUUGUUGGUGGGGUAGUGGCUUACCAAGGCUUUGACGGGUAGCCGGCCUGAGAGGGUGACCGGCCGCAUUGGGACUGAGAUACGGCCCAGACUCCUACGGGAGGCAGCAGUGGGGAAUAUUGCACAAUGGGCGGAAGCCUGAUGCAGCAACGCCGCGUGCGGGAUGACGGCCUUCGGGUUGUUAGCCGCUUUCGCCUGUGACGAAGCGUGAGUGACGGUAAUGGGUAAAGAAGCACCGGCUAACUACGUG
This 468-nucleotide ribosomal RNA is filed under the name uncultured bacterium. RNAcentral describes it as "partial 16S ribosomal RNA". It matches the Rfam family "Bacterial small subunit ribosomal RNA", at positions 28 to 507 of the family's 1533-position model. The record is from RNAcentral.